Molecule: ribosomal RNA, 301 nt
Filed under: uncultured bacterium
Lineage: Bacteria
Description: partial 16S ribosomal RNA
Rfam family: Bacterial small subunit ribosomal RNA
Source: RNAcentral
CAGUAGCCGCGGGAAAACAGAGGGUGCGAGCGUUAAUCGGAUUUACUGGGCGUAAAGCGUGCGUAGGCGGCUAAUUGAGUCGGAUGUGAAAUCCCCGAGCUUAACUUGGGAAUUGCAUUCGAUACUGGUUAGCUAGAGUGUGGGAGAGGAUGGUAGAAUUCCAGGUGUAGCGGUGAAAUGCGUAGAGAUCUGGAGGAAUACCGAUGGCGAAGGCAGCCAUCUGGCCUAACACUGACGCUGAGGUACGAAAGCAUGGGGAGCAAACAGGAUUAGAUACCCGAGUAGUCCCUGUCUCUUAUAC